RNAcentral lists this long non-coding RNA (211 nucleotides) under Elaeis guineensis (African oil palm). Its description in RNAcentral is "long non-coding RNA (EGUI_LNC007722)". The record is from RNAcentral. Lineage: Eukaryota; Viridiplantae; Streptophyta; Magnoliopsida; Arecales; Arecaceae.
CGUUACUUUGGACAUAAAAUGAGAACGUACUCUGCUGUGUUGCAGAGUGUUUGGUAUUACCUGCACGAAUUGGUGCAGAGGGAAUCUGAGGUUUUGUUAAAGCUUGAAGAACUAAAAUAAAAGCCUCGCUUUAUACUGUGCAGUUGGCACUAUAUAAGUUACAAAGAGAAAGAAGAAAAAAAAAGAAAAAAAAAAAAGGAAGAGUGGGGGC